RNAcentral lists this unclassified non-coding RNA (347 nucleotides) under soil metagenome. RNAcentral's name for it is "partial contains 5.8S ribosomal RNA, internal transcribed spacer 2, and large subunit ribosomal RNA". The stretch from base 1 to 119 matches the Rfam family "5.8S ribosomal RNA", at positions 35 to 154 of the family's 154-position model. The record is from RNAcentral.
GAUGAAGAACGUAGCGAAAUGCGAUAAGUAAUGCGAAUUGCAGAAUCCGUGAGUCAUCGAAUCUUUGAACGCACAUUGCGCGCUUUGGUAUUCCGAAGGGCAUGCCUGUUCGAGCGUCAUUAUCACCCCUCAAGCCCCGGCUUGGUGUUGGGCUCUCGGUGGUCGUCUCCGACCACCCGUCUCAAAGAUAGUGACGGCGUCCCAGAGGGAACCGGUACGAGGAGCUUUCACGAGCAUGUACGCGGGACGACUCUGCGGGCGACGGUCUUAUUUACUUUAUAUACAAGUGUUGACCUCGGAUCAGGUAGGAAUACCCGCUGAACUUAAGCAUAUCAAUAAGCGGAGGA